This 295-nucleotide long non-coding RNA is filed under the name Homo sapiens (human). RNAcentral's name for it is "HSALNT0200359". Lineage: Eukaryota; Metazoa; Chordata; Mammalia; Primates; Hominidae. The record is from RNAcentral.
CCAGCAUGCAGAGCGUCUCUCUACGUAUGUCCUGCAGGCCACCUAAACUGAGAAAAACUCACAAUUUUCUCAUUUUUAAAUGAGUGAAUUCAAAGAAGAAAGUGUCUACAUGUGCCAGAGAAGGGAGGGUUGUGCCAAUGAAUAAUUGCCAUUGCCAUUCUUCCAAGGAGAAUCAAUUACUGUAUCAAUGGUAGCUGGCUGCAGCUCCAGCAAAGAGAGCGGGUAAAGGAGAGAAAAGAGAAUGAAUUGUCAGCAUUAUUGAAAAGAUUCAUGGUUAGUCACACUCACUCCAGGC